AUUGAACGCUGGCGGCAUGCUUUACACAUGCAAGUCGAACGGUAACAGGCCUUCGGGUGCUGACGAGUGGCGAACGGGUGAGUAAUGCAUCGGAACGUACCCAGAGGUGGGGGAUAACGCAGCGAAAGCUGUGCUAAUACUGCAUGUGAUCUGAGGAUGAAAGCGGGGGACCGAGCAGCAAUGUUUGGCCUCGCGCCUUUGGAGCGGCCGAUGUCGGAUUAGCUAGUUGGUGGGGUAAAGGCCUACCAAGGCGACGAUCCGUAGCUGGUCUGAGAGGACGACCAGCCACACUGGAACUGAGACACGGCCCAGACUCCUACGGGAGGCAGCAGUGGGGAAUUUUGGACAAUGGGCGCAAGCCUGAUCCAGCAAUGCCGCGUGCGUGAAGAAGGCCUUCGGGUUGUAAACCGCUUUUGGCAGGAACGAAACGGUGUCCGCUAAUACCGGGCGCUAAUGACGGUACCUGCAGAAUAAGCACCGGCUAACUACGUG
Molecule: ribosomal RNA, 492 nt
Filed under: uncultured bacterium
Lineage: Bacteria
Description: partial 16S ribosomal RNA
Rfam family: Bacterial small subunit ribosomal RNA
Source: RNAcentral